GAUGAACGCUGGCGGCGUGCUUAACACAUGCAAGUCGAACGGAAAGGCCAUAGCUUGCUGUGGUACUCGAGUGGCGAACGGGUGAGUAACACGUGGGUGAUCUGCCCUGUACUUCGGGAUAAGCUUGGGAAACUGGGUCUAAUACCGGAUAGGAAUCACAUGUGGGUGUGUGGUUGGAAAGCUUUUGCGGUAUGGGAUGAGCUCGCGGCCUAUCAGCUUGUUGGUGGGGUAAUGGCCUACCAAGGCGUCGACGGGUAGCCGGCCUGAGAGGGUGUACGGCCACAUUGGGACUGAGAUACGGCCCAGACUCCUACGGGAGGCAGCAGUGGGGAAUAUUGCACAAUGGGCGGAAGCCUGAUGCAGCAACGCCGCGUGGGGGAUGACGGCCUUCGGGUUGUAAACUCCUUUCGUCAGGGACGAAGCGAGAGUGACGGUACCUGGAUAAGAAGCACCGGCUAACUACGUG
This 466-nucleotide ribosomal RNA is filed under the name uncultured bacterium. RNAcentral describes it as "partial 16S ribosomal RNA". It matches the Rfam family "Bacterial small subunit ribosomal RNA", at positions 28 to 507 of the family's 1533-position model. The record is from RNAcentral.